GCACUGCCUGAUUAGUGGCGAACGGGUGAGUAACACGUGAGUAACCUGCCCUUCACUUCGGGAUAACCUCGGGAAAUCGUGGCUAAUACCGGAUAUGAACUCCUGCCGCAUGGUGGGGGUUGGAAAGAUUUAUCGGUGAAGGAUGGACUCGCGGCCUAUCAGUUUGUUGGUGAGGUAAUGGCUCACCAAGACGAUGACGGGUAGCCGGCCUGAGAGGGCGACCGGCCACACUGGGACUGAGACACGGCCCAGACUCCUACGGGAGGCAGCAGUGGGGAAUAUUGCACAAUGGGCGAAAGCCUGAUGCAGCGACGCCGCGUGGGGGAUGACGGCCUUCGGGUUGUAAACCCCUUUCAGUAGGGAAGAAGCGAAAGUGACGGUACCUGCAGAAGAAGCGCCGGCUAACUACGUGCCAGCAGCCGCGGUAAUACGUAGGGCGCAAGCGUUGUCCGGAAUUAUUGGGCGUAAAGAGCUCGUAGGUGGCUUGUCGCGUCUGCCGUGAAAACCCGAGGCUCAACCUCGGGCGUGCGGUGGGUACGGGCAGGCUAGAG
This 551-nucleotide ribosomal RNA is filed under the name Brachybacterium sp. Its description in RNAcentral is "bacterial SSU rRNA". It matches the Rfam family "Bacterial small subunit ribosomal RNA", at positions 80 to 646 of the family's 1533-position model. The record is from RNAcentral. Lineage: Bacteria; Bacillati; Actinomycetota; Actinomycetes; Micrococcales; Dermabacteraceae.